GGCUGAAAUUCGCCUUUAUGAAGCCGGAAUUGCUAGUAAUGGCAGGUCAGCAUACUGCCGUGAAUACGUUCCCGGGCCUUGUACACACCGCCCGUCACACCAUGAGAGUUGGGGAUACCCGAAGCCUGUGAGCCAACAGUUAAAUGGGGCAGCAGUCGAAGGUAGAAUCAAUGAUUGGGGUGAAGUCGUAACAAGGUAAC
This 200-nucleotide ribosomal RNA is filed under the name uncultured bacterium. RNAcentral's name for it is "partial 16S ribosomal RNA". It matches the Rfam family "Bacterial small subunit ribosomal RNA", at positions 1303 to 1500 of the family's 1533-position model. The record is from RNAcentral.